Xiphophorus maculatus (southern platyfish) is the source of this 811-nucleotide long non-coding RNA. RefSeq lists it as uncharacterized. The record is from RefSeq and is a predicted model, not a curated record. NCBI's taxonomy places the organism in Eukaryota, Metazoa, Chordata, Actinopteri, Cyprinodontiformes, Poeciliidae. The transcript is spliced from 3 exons.
CUGAUUUUACUUUUGCUUUAAGAUUCUCAAAACUCCCAGCAUUGAGUGAGAACUCAGCUUUGAGUUCAAUCGUCCGUUUUAACACAUCGUCACAGCGAGUCACAGCUCCCCAUAAAUAAUUAAGAGUUAAUACGAUGCCACUUAAACUUGACACCUUUUGAUGUCAGAGCUCUUCACACCCUUUGCAGCAGCGUCAGAGAAAGGAGGGGAAAAAGAGGAACGCAAGGCAGAGAGUGCAGCCGCUUUGUGAUCGGCUGAUUCUCCCCCGUGACACAGCAGCCGGGGAGGAGGCGACUCCGGCUCCAUGGCCUCCCUGUUCACCCAACUCGAGGUGUGGACCAUCAUGUUCUCCAUCCUGGUUUUUGCGCUCUUCACACUUGCUGGGAUGAUCAGCGAGGAAUGUCCGCACACUGAAGAAACUACUGAUAGAUCCCAGAGUCAGGAGAUGUCAGUGUGACUCAUCUGCUAAUGCUCAGCUCGUGAGAAAAACUCAGCCUGUUCCUGGUGUGUGGCCGUGAAUCCUUAUCAGUUUAUAAAAGCGGGCCUGCAGGCCGACCUAUGAACGUGUGUGUGUGCGUGUGUGUGUGUGUGCUUUGUUUGCAGUCCCAGUGUAACCUGCUUCUUCCAGGAUGAGGCACAAAGGAGUGGCCAAAUUGUUCAACUAAAAAAUGCAAUAAAGAGACACCUGCUGAAACAAAGUGGCUCACAACAGCAUCACCUGGCCGCUCGCCCUGCAGGAUGUCCAGAGACAGCACCGGGAGAUUCCUCUGUGAACUUUGAACCUGGAAAACAGACCGUGUGUCUCUCCCAU